GCCGAGGGGCCGCCCGCCCGAGCGCCCCUCCCAGGCCGGGGAGCCCACCUCCGACCCGCGCCUUACUUGGUCCUACGGCCGGAGCCGGUCUCUCCGCUCGGCGCCGCGGGGCCGAGCGCAGGAAGCUCCGCGGAGUGCGCUACGCCACCAGGGACGCGCCAGUCCAGCCUCUGUGGUUGAAAGCGAGCUAAGGCAGCGGGAGACGGGCGCACGGGCAACUCCAGGAGCAGCUGGAGGAGGAUCGGUGGCGCGGACUCUGCAGGUCGCUGUUGAGGUUGUGCAAGGGGGAGCCCCGCCCGGGUGCCCACCUAGGACUUUACGUUGUCGCGCGGACAGCGGCGCUUCGCAGGGACCAGCGAGCACCACCCCUUCCCCGGCGCCACAGGAGCGGGCUUCCGGCACCACCCUGGGCUACGAGGGACUUAAUCCCGGAGGGGCAGUUGUCACCUCCCCUCCCCCCCCCCUGCCGCGGCCCCGCGGCCUCCACCCCCCGCGAAUCCCCCGACAAUCCCCACCCCUACUCGCCCCCUCCGAGGACAGGAGCAGUGCCCCGCGGGGGAAAGGAGUGAAAUAGGUUAGCAGGUUUGCAGAUUCCUGUUCAGAGCUCCCGGAACUCUUUGGAGGAGGGAGCAAGAUUCAGGACCCAGCAGGCAGGCACCUAAGGGGGGAAAGUCCCUGUCCCCCCCCCCCUCCAGCUGGGAGCUGCCGCUUUACCACCUCCAUCGCCCUUUCCUCAGCCCCUGCCCUUGCCCUUUCUCCUCCUCGCUGUGGAUGGGCCCGCUGCACGUGGAGGGAAAAGGACGCGCGGCAGAAGUUACCACCCCCUCCCCCCAAACACACCACCACCACCAACACGUUUCUGGGUCGGAGAAGUCUCUCUGUUGGGGGCAGUGCUGAUCUCUGGACAUGAGACUAUGAGCUGUCCGUUACAUGAGGACCACUGUAAGCAAGAGGCCGCAUGGUGGUUCUCCAGCUGCCGGUCCCAGAUCCCUCACCAUCUCAGACCAGGAACCAGGGAGUUUACAGGAACAUUGUGACCUGACCUACAUGGACAGCUGUGAGAACAAAGGAUUCUGACACCAAGAAGUUUGCAACAACUAACCAUGCCCUUCCCUCACCUUGCCUUUAAAAAUGCUUUGCUAAAACCCUUCAGAGAGUUUGGGGAUUUCUGGGCACAAGCCACCCACCUUGCAUGGCCCUGCAAUAAACCUUUCUCUGCUCCAAACUCCAACAUUUCGGUUUGUUUGCCCUCACUGUGUGUUGGGCACACAAAUUUGCAUUCGGUAACAAAAGGGGUAGGAAACAGGUAGCAGGCUUGGUGGGUAGUGGAAA
This is a long non-coding RNA of Balaenoptera ricei (Rice's whale), 1332 nucleotides long. RefSeq lists it as uncharacterized. NCBI's taxonomy places the organism in Eukaryota, Metazoa, Chordata, Mammalia, Artiodactyla, Balaenopteridae. The record is from RefSeq and is a predicted model, not a curated record. The transcript is spliced from 3 exons.